RNAcentral lists this ribosomal RNA (468 nucleotides) under uncultured bacterium. RNAcentral's name for it is "partial 16S ribosomal RNA". It matches the Rfam family "Bacterial small subunit ribosomal RNA", at positions 28 to 507 of the family's 1533-position model. The record is from RNAcentral.
GACGAACGCUGGCGGCGUGCUUAACACAUGCAAGUCGAACGGAAAGGCCCUGCUUUUGUGGGGUGCUCGAGUGGCGAACGGGUGAGUAACACGUGAGUAACCUGCCCUUGACUUUGGGAUAACUUCAGGAAACUGGGGCUAAUACCGGAUAGGAGCUCCUGCUGCAUGGGGGGGGUUGGAAAGAUUCGGCGGUUGGGGAUGGACUCGCGGCUUAUCAGCUUGUUGGUGAGGUAGUGACUUACCAAGGCUUUGACGGGUAGCCGGCCUGAGAGGGUGACCGGCCACAUUGGGACUGAGAUACGGCCCAGACUCCUACGGGAGGCAGCAGUGGGGAAUAUUGCACAAUGGGCGGAAGCCUGAUGCAGCAACGCCGCGUGCGGGAUGACGGCCUUCGGGUUGUAAACCGCUUUCGCCUGUGACGAAGCGUGAGUGACGGUAAUGGGUAAAGAAGCACCGGCUAACUACGUG